GACAGAGGGUGCAAACGUUGUUCGGAUUUACUGGGCGUAAAGCGCGUGUAGGCGGCUUGGCAAGUCGGAUGUGAAAGCCCACGGCUCAACCGUGGAAGCGCAUCCGAAACUGCUUCGCUCGAGUCUCGGAGAGGAAGGUGGAAUGCUUGGUGUAGAGGUGAAAUUCGUAGAUAUCAAGCAGAACACCUGCGGCGAAGGCGGCCUUCUGGACGAUGACUGACGCUGAGGAGCGAAAGCAUGGGGAGCGAACAGG
This 253-nucleotide ribosomal RNA is filed under the name uncultured bacterium. RNAcentral's name for it is "partial 16S ribosomal RNA". It matches the Rfam family "Bacterial small subunit ribosomal RNA", at positions 524 to 776 of the family's 1533-position model. The record is from RNAcentral.